Parelaphostrongylus tenuis is the source of this 71-nucleotide non-coding RNA. NCBI's taxonomy places the organism in Eukaryota, Metazoa, Nematoda, Chromadorea, Rhabditida, Metastrongylidae. The record is from the annotation of a GenBank genome assembly.
ACCUCGGUGGUGUAGUGGUAGCCGACAUCCUCGGUCUGUAUGGAACGCGGGUUCGACUCCCGUCUGAGGUC